CCUACGGGAGGCAGCAGUGAGGAAUAUUGGACAAUGGGCGCAAGCCUGAUCCAGCCAUGCCGCGUGCAGGAAGAAGCAUCUAUGGUGUGUAAACUGCUUUUGUACAGGAAGAAACACUCCCUCGUGAGGGAGCUUGACGGUACUGUAAGAAUAAGGACCGGCUAACUCCGUGCCAGCAGCCGCGGUAAUACGGAGGGUCCGAGCGUUAUCCGGAAUCAUUGGGUUUAAAGGGUCCGUAGGCGGUUUAAUAAGUCAGUGGUGAAAUCUGGUCGCUCAACGAUCAAACGGCCAUUGAUACUGUUAGACUUGAAUUAUAAGGAAGUAACUAGAAUAUGUAGUGUAGCGGUGAAAUGCUUAGAUAUUACAUGGAAUACCAAUUGCGAAGGCAGGUUACUACUUAUGGAUUGACGCUGAUGGACGAAAGCGUGGGGAGCGAACAGGAUUAGAUACCCUGGUAGUCCACGCCGUAAACGAUGGAUACUAGCUGUUCGGAGCAACCUGAGUGGCUAAGCGAAAGUGAUAAGUAUCCCACCUGGGGAGUACGUUCGCAGAAUGAAACUCAAGAAUUGACGGNGUGNGAGNGCGAGACGACGACGAGGGAGGAGG
Molecule: ribosomal RNA, 606 nt
Filed under: uncultured bacterium
Lineage: Bacteria
Description: bacterial SSU rRNA
Rfam family: Bacterial small subunit ribosomal RNA
Source: RNAcentral